Molecule: non-coding RNA, 46 nt
Organism: Zootermopsis nevadensis
Lineage: Eukaryota; Metazoa; Arthropoda; Insecta; Blattodea; Termopsidae
Source: Rfam
AAAACGGCCCUUUUAAGGGCCCCAAACUUUCUUAAGAGGGGUUCGU